RNAcentral lists this long non-coding RNA (1440 nucleotides) under Olea europaea subsp. europaea. Lineage: Eukaryota; Viridiplantae; Streptophyta; Magnoliopsida; Lamiales; Oleaceae. The record is from RNAcentral.
UGAAAUAUGCAUUCAUUUCCAACUUUUCUCCUAUCUCUGAUCUCUUCUCGAUACAUUAAACAAUGGCAGCAACAUCGAUCCACGACUUGCCAGAAGACUGUCUUGCUCACGUUAUCGCAUUCACGUCCCCUCACAAUGCAUGUGAAUCUUCAAUUGUAUCGACUAUGUUUCGCAAUUCAGUGGAAUCAGACCUUGUGUGGGACAAAUUCUUACCUUAUGAUUAUCGUGAUAUUAUUUCAAAGUUGGUUUCUCCUAUAGAAUUUUCUUCCAAAAAGGAUCUGUUUUUCAAACUUUCUACUCCUCUUCUCAUUGAUGGGGGUAACAAGGUAAGGGGAAAAAAUAAAAACAGCAUGCUCAUAAUAUAUCCUGAAAAUAAAUAAAAAUAUUUAAAUUAAUUUGUUCACAUGCAGACAUUUGCAAUCGAUAAAUUUACCAACAAGAAAUGCUACAUGUUGAGUGCAAGAGAAUUGUCAAUUUCUUGGGCAAGCAAUCAUCUUUGCUGGAGCUGGAAACCCCUUCUUCACUCAAGGUUUUUAUUUAAUUCUUUAAGUUGACAUUAAGAUUUUAAAUUUUUUACUAUAAAACAAUUGACUUUUUGGGUCGAAUAUAAUGAGGAGAAGAGCUAUAUAAAGUUGACUUCAAAUUUCUGAAAUUAAGGUAUCAUGCAGUUUUUUUCUAUAACAUCUAAAUCUUUGUUUUGGUUUUAUAUUCCAGAUUUUAUGAGGGAGCAGAGCUUGUAAUGGUAUCGUGGCUUGAGAUACAAGGCAAAGUCAACAGUCAAAUGUUAUCGAAAAAUACAACAUAUGGAGCCUACCUUAUUGUUAAACUUGCCCGUCGUGCAUUUGGAUUAGAUUUACUACCAUCAGAGGUUUCAAUAGAAAUUGGUGAUUACAAAUCUAUUGGAACAACUUAUUUAAGGGACCAUGCAAGUAAAAAGCAAAAACUGGAGCAUGACUAUAUGCAACACAAGAUUGAUGGGUCAAGAUCAGGAGUUUGUGAAGCAGAAGAACACGUUGUUCAUAUACGGGAAGAUGGAUGGUUAGAAGUCGAAUUGGGUGAAUUCUAUUGUGAUGGUAAAGACAAAGAGGUGAAAAUGAGCUUCAAAGAGGUCGAAGGUGAGCACCUCAAAGGGGGACUUCUUGUUGAAGGCAUUGAGCUUAGACCUAAGGACUAAAUGCUAUACCAAUUGAAAUGUAAAUAGGAAAAUCUUGCUUGGACUCUUUUAACAUCUUCUUAUCUGUUGGCUUGUGGGAAAUUCUUUGUAUGAAUCAUUAAUUCAAUUUAUUUUUUAAUUUCUAUUUAUGAAUCAAUGUAAAUAUACACAAUUUGACCAGAAGGCCUCAAGGCCCUUGUCAGUCGAGAUAACAUCAAUAUGAGCAUUGCUAAGCAUAAGAAUUGUUGAAAAAUUGAUGCAUAAUUCUAUUCCUUUUCAAAUGAAAC